This 563-nucleotide ribosomal RNA is filed under the name bacterium. Its description in RNAcentral is "bacterial SSU rRNA". It matches the Rfam family "Bacterial small subunit ribosomal RNA", at positions 848 to 1411 of the family's 1533-position model. The record is from RNAcentral.
GUAGCUAACGCAUUAAGCGCCCCGCCUGGGGAGUACGGCCGCAAGGCUAAAACUCAAAGGAAUUGACGGGGGCCCGCACAAGCGGCGGAGCAUGCGGAUUAAUUCGAUGCAACGCGAAGAACCUUACCAAGGCUUGACAUACACCGGAAACGGCCAGAGAUGGUCGCCCCCUUGUGGUCGGUGUACAGGUGGUGCAUGGUUGUCGUCAGCUCGUGUCGUGAGAUGUUGGGUUAAGUCCCGCAACGAGCGCAACCCUCGUUCUAUGUUGCCAGCGGGUUAUGCCGGGGACUCAUAGGAGACUGCCGGGGUCAACUCGGAGGAAGGUGGGGAUGACGUCAAAUCAUCAUGCCCCUUAUGUCUUGGGCUUCACGCAUGCUACAAUGGCCGGUACAAAGGGCUGCGAUACCGUAAGGUGGAGCGAAUCCCAAAAAGCCGGUCUCAGUUCGGAUUGAGGUCUGCAACUCGACCUCAUGAAGUCGGAGUCGCUAGUAAUCGCAGAUCAGCAACGCUGCGGUGAAUACGUUCCCGGGCCUUGUACACACCGCCCGUCAAGUCAUGAAAGU